GCUAGUGCUGCUGGGUCUGGAGAUGACUCUGAAGGACGAUGGACAGCACAUGUGGAGGCCCAAGAGGUUCCCCAGACCAGUCUACUGCAAUCUGUGCGAGUCAAGCAUUGGUCUUGGCAAACAGGGACUGAGCUGUAACCUCUGUAAGUACACUGUUCACGACCAGUGUGCCAUGAAAGCCCUGCCUUGUGAAGUCAGCACCUAUGCCAAGUCUCGGAAGGACAUUGGUGUGAGUGAUCUCAAGCCUCCGCCCCCAACAUCACCUACAUCCUGGCCCUGGCCCUUGGCCCAUUGCUGCCCUCAGCCCCUCCCUCCCCUAGGUCCUGCUCCGACCCUCCCAAACAAGGAACUGCCUUCCUCCCCAAGGUCCAAUCACAUGUGUGGGUGCGAGGAGGCUGUGAGUCCGGGCGCUGCGACCGCUGUCAGAAAAAGAUCCGGAUCUACCACAGUCUGACGGGGCUGCAUUGUGUAUGGUGCCACCUAGAGAUCCACGAUGACUGCCUGCAAGCGGUGGGCCAUGAGUGUGACUGUGGGCUGCUCCGGGAUCACAUCCUGCCUCCAUCUUCCAUCUAUCCCAGUGUCCUGGCCUCUGGACCGGAUCGUAAAAAUAGCAAAACAAGCCAGAAGACCAUGGAUGAUUUAAAUUUGAGCACCUCUGAGGCUCUGCGGAUUGACCCUGUUCCUAACACCCACCCACUUCUCGUCUUUGUCAAUCCUAAGAGUGGCGGGAAGCAGGGGCAGAGG
This 744-nucleotide small RNA is filed under the name Pongo abelii (Sumatran orangutan). RNAcentral describes it as "retained intron". Lineage: Eukaryota; Metazoa; Chordata; Mammalia; Primates; Hominidae. The record is from RNAcentral.